UCUAAGUCAUUUCCUAAGGGUGAGAAAAUCUUUUUGGGGCAGGAAAUUAGGGAAUUCUUUGUCUUGGCCAUAGGGUUGGCUAUUGUGUUCUUGUAUUCACAUAUUAAUAUAAGUUGGGAAGAAAUUCCUGUAUAUCGUGUGUGCCUUUAUUUACUGUUUUUGCUGCCUAUUUUCAUUCUAAGUGCAAACGUCCCUAAAAAUAAAACUAAGUGUUGGAAAGGCUGAAGUCAAGGCUAGGCUUGAUUGCCGCACAGAGGUGAACCUCGGGCAGAAUUCGAGUGACAUAAAUCACCCAUGUGACAACUAGCACGAUGUAUAAGUAUACCAAAUAGGUAUAUUAUUAUUUUACGUCUAUUCUUACCAUAUCAUGCAAAAAACUGUGGGAUAUGUGGUCGACACACAAUUUUGCAUUCUUUAACAUGGUAUUUACAAAAUUAAUCUCUCUAUAAUCAAAUAGGGCAAGAACAGGGGAGCAUGUGGCUGGUUUUCUCAGUGCUUUGUCUGGUAUGAAUAUAUCAUCUUCCUCAUCUGCUACCUACACAAGAAGUUAUGUUGAGGAAGAUUAGUAGAACUAUCAGCAGGAGAAUAGGGAAAAACAAACCAAAGAAGUGGCACCAGUAGUGUAAUUCGCCAAAGACCCACAACGCUAAAUACUGUUUGUACGCCUAACAAACUAUGAGUUCCGUAUCAACAGAUAGUAAGUCCAAUUUGCAUGGGUACUCAGGAAGACGUUAAAUAGUUUGGUAGUAUAGUAAUUGCUAGCACAUACACAUUGCGCUCUGCAAUCGCUACUUUAUGUCUCGCUGCAAAAGUAUAAAGAGAAGGAUUUGAGUUCGCAAGUAAAUUCAAGUACUAUUCUUCUUUUCAACUCCUAGUUCUUUAAAUUUUCAAUCGCUACUCCCUUUUUACCUAUUCUGACAAUAGUAAUCUUAAUGUCCAUGCUGCAACAUAAUGUCUUCAGAUUUCAAGAGAAAUAACCAUUGCAUCUAUGUGUGAAAGAUGAUCUCAAGGAUCGGAGUGUCCGAAAUAAAGAAAGCUAGAAAUUUUAAAUGUAUGUUGGCCACUUCCCUACAGUGAAUGGUUAAUAUCCUUGCAAUUAUAAUUCUUGUCCAAAUAAUUAGCCCAUCCUGUUCCUACAAGGCAAAAGAAAAUUACGACUUCAAAAGGAUCUGAUAUAAUAUAGUAACUGUUACUGGGUAAAUGGCAUCUGGUUUCGUAGUCAUGUCAAAUAUUUUCCUUUGCAUGUUCAGAAGCGGUAGUCAUCUCUUAGGAUAAUUAAAUACAAAAGACAGAGUGAAACCAAAGGGAAAAAAUUAUUUUUACAAAUUACUUAUUCACAAAAAUGGAAGGAAAAAAAAGCCAAAAUGAAAUUCUUUUUUCUUGAACAGAGGUGAUUGAAGAUGAAUCUUGAAACGCAUAUCCAUUUAUAAGUGAUUAGGAGGCAAUAGAAUGAGAGAUAGGGGCAAGGAUGUGUGGAUCAUGGAAAGGGAGCUUGAAAAGGAAAGUAGAGCUGAACGACGGCAAUUUUAAGCAGAGCCUAUUCCAUUUGCAGAACCACACAAUAUGUGGAAACUUUAUCUUUGGAUAUAUUUGUGUCUCAGAUAAUCACACAUAGUACCUCAUUAAGGAAAUUUCACGGGGCCUUACCUUUGGCCUGCUUGUUGUUUUGCUUUCUGCAUUUUGAUAAUUUUCUCUGUCGCCUCCCCUCAAGUUGCUGAGUUAAUGGCUAUAUUCUUGAAAUGUGGUGCAGCCAACAAAAAGACACUCACUUUAUAGCUGUAUAAAACAGAUAAAAUUUGUUGGACCAAUAAUUGUGAACUGCUAACGGAAGUAAAGCAUUCCCUUUAUUAAGAUUUUGUACGAUUGACGAGUAGCCUCUUUUCCCUUAUUUAUUUUUGAUGCACCCACGAGGUUCCCAUAUGUAUAUACGAUAGGGUGUCUUAUGUAGAAAACCAUGUCUUUUUGUAAGGUUUUAUUUUUUGGGGGUAUACGCCUUGUAUACAGGCAUGUUUUGGCCCUUCUUUUAAUGAGAUUUAUUACCUCAUCAAAAAAACUGAUACAGCUAAACAGUGGCUAAAAGUCCUGUCGCACAUCUUUCCCAACAUUGUGCAACUAAAAAGAGAGAGUCGAGUAUUUGAAACUACUUAAACAAGGAAGCAUUCUAUUUUUUUUUAUCUGAACUAACAGGGAAGCAUUCUAAUGGAAGCCAAAACAAAGACAAAGUGUUUUUCAAUUGCCCGACACCUUAAAGGUAUUUUCCUUACUUUUACUAAAACAAGAACCUGUUCUCACAAAGGAAAUUAGAAAGCUAGUGACACAGCUUAGCUCAACUCAAAUUGAAUGAAACAUAACCAUAUUGGACUCCACUAAUGCAGGCCGCGACAGCUAAUAUUGAACAGCAAAAAAACAACAGAUGAAAAGGAGGUGUGAUAAGCAGAGUUAGCAUCGACAAAAGCUAUUUAAAGACAUAAUUUGUUACCUAAAAAUGCCUUUAGAUCAAAAGCACCGUGAAGACAAACUCUCAAAAAUGUAACAAUUGGAUCCCUUGCAUUCCACUAUGAUAUCAGUCAGGAUGGACAAACACUGAGAUUUAAACCUGCGAGUUUGGAGAGUUAAGUUCAAAUGCAGUUACCUUCAAAUUUUCAUAUACAAGGUUUUUGCACAGAAGUGACCUAUUCAAGGACUAUAUUAGUUAUGUAUUACAGCAAAGUUAUGUAAAAGUUCAUUAUCACCUCUGACAGAAGGAAUUCACAAUAGGCAACCAUUAUAUUCAAAACUACUUUAGGCUUGUCCUGAUAAACAUGUGUGGACGAAGUUAUAUGUCGAAGACUGCAAGACACUCAUUCAUGCACUUCAAAACCAACAAGGCAACAGACUCCAUUUUUCUGUGUUCUGAUUUUAAGAGGCCUCCCGACAACACUGAGCAGCACAAAAUAAAUAAGAAAAAAAUAACAGAAGACCGAUAAAACCACCAAAGCAAUAAAAUCCGAUUACUCCAUGCUCAUAUUUACUUUACGCGGCUUGAAAAGAUAGAUACACAGAAGACACGGAAAAAAAAAAGAUUGAAAACAAAGCAUAGAUAGGAAAAAUAACAGGAAUUAUAAUCACAAUUAAAUCUGAAAUUGACUGAAAAGACUUAACAAAAGAUUGAGGCAAUAACAGAGAAGGAACUAAAGAGAAGCAAAAAAAAAUGGACCAAGGGGAAAACCAGAAGAAUCAAAAUAUGGGAAAGAAGAACAACAUAAAUACCAACGCUUUGAUUGCAAAAGGAAAACAAUAAGAAAAGAUAGCUGCAUAAUAUAAUGUAGGAUGCAUCAGAUAGCAUGCAUUCUCAUACCCAAAAAAGAGGGGGGAAAGAAACAAGAAGAAAACCAGAAGCACAAAAAAUCCAGAGCAUGGUUUCUAGAAGCUUCAAAAUACAACACAACAAUUCGAAGGAUAAAUCGGCAAAAAUGGAAAAGCAUCACUUGCAAUAACAUUGGAUGAUGAUAUCAUAGUCCUCACAUAUAUGAAGCUCAAGAAAUAUCAAAGAAAAGGUGAGAAGGAAUGAUAUUCGACAUGCUUGUGACAAAAAUAUUUCUAGAAUUUUUUUCUAUAUCGCCAAGAAGAAAGCACACUUAGUUUCAAUCUCUUCUAUGGAACUUCCUCUGAACUCUGAAGAUUCUUUAUUUCCUAAAUACAUGGAUAUCUCGGUUUUCCUGAGUAACAAUAUUACCCUCCAUAUAGCAUUUUACCCAACAAAAAAAAUAGAAAUAAUAAGGUAUCCAGAACAUGAGCCCAGACAUCUAUUUCAAAACAUACCUAGAGAGAAAGAAGAAAAACUAAAACCGGAGAAAAUUAAACCAAAACUCACAGGUAGAUCUCGCUGGAAUAGAAGAAACCAAAGCUUCCGGAAGAAGUGGAGAGACUCGAGAAAAAGCUGACACAUAAAUUACUGAAGAAGCCAGAAUGAGAUAGAAACAGAGAGUCCAG
RNAcentral lists this long non-coding RNA (3972 nucleotides) under Nicotiana tabacum (common tobacco). RNAcentral's name for it is "long non-coding RNA (NTAB_LNC014478)". The record is from RNAcentral. Lineage: Eukaryota; Viridiplantae; Streptophyta; Magnoliopsida; Solanales; Solanaceae.